Molecule: ribosomal RNA, 253 nt
Filed under: uncultured bacterium
Lineage: Bacteria
Description: partial 16S ribosomal RNA
Rfam family: Bacterial small subunit ribosomal RNA
Source: RNAcentral
UACGGAGGGUGCAAGCGUUAAUCGGAAUUACUGGGCGUAAAGCGCACGCAGGUGGCUGAGUCAGUCGAUUGUGAAAGCCCUGGGCUUAACCUGGGAAUUGCAGUCGAUACUACUCAGCUAGAGUAUGGGAGAGGGCAGUGGAAUUCCCGGUGUAGCGGUGAAAUGCGUAGAUAUCGGGAGGAACAUCAGUGGCGAAGGCGGCUGCCUGGCCCAAUACUGACACUCAGGUGCGAAAGCGUGGGGAGCAAACAGG